GACUCCGUGAAGCUGGAUUCGCUAGUAAUCGCGCAUCAGCCAUGGCGCGGUGAAUACGUUCCCGGGCCUUGUACACACCGCCCGUCAAGCCAUGGGAGCCAGGGGUGCUUGAAGUGCGUCGCCGCAAGGCGCGCCCUAGAGCAAAACCGGUGACUGGGGCUAAGUCGUAACAAGGUAAC
Molecule: ribosomal RNA, 179 nt
Filed under: uncultured bacterium
Lineage: Bacteria
Description: partial 16S ribosomal RNA
Rfam family: Bacterial small subunit ribosomal RNA
Source: RNAcentral